ACCUAGCUGGCUUAGUUGGUAAAGCAUGUGACCCUUGAUCUCAGGAGUUGUGAGUUCAAGCCCCACAUUGGGUG
RNAcentral lists this transfer RNA (74 nucleotides) under Canis lupus dingo (dingo). It matches the Rfam family "tRNA". From Rfam's summary of the family: Transfer RNA (tRNA) molecules are approximately 80 nucleotides in length. Lineage: Eukaryota; Metazoa; Chordata; Mammalia; Carnivora; Canidae. The record is from Rfam by way of RNAcentral.